GAUGAACGCUAGCGACAGGCUUAACACAUGCAAGUCGAGGGGCAGCAUAAAAGUAGCAAUACUUUGGUGGCGACCGGCGCACGGGUGAGUAACGCGUAUGCAACCUACCUAUCAGAGGGGAAUAACCCGGCGAAAGUCGGACUAAUACCGCAUAAAACAGGGGCACCGCAUGGUGAUAUUGGUUAAAGAAAUUCGCUGAUAGAUGGGCAUGCGUUCCAUUAGGUAGUUGGUGGGGUAACGGCUCACCAAGCCGACGAUGGAUAGGGGAACUGAGGGGUUGGUCCCCCACACUGGUACUGAGAUACGGACCAGACUCCUACGGGAGGCAGCAGUAAGGAAUAUUGGUCAAUGGGCGAGAGCCUGAACCAGCCAAGUCGCGUGAAGGAAGAAGGAUCUAUGGUUCGUAAACUUCUUUUGCAGGGGAAUAAAGUGCGGGACGUGUCCUGUUUUGUAUGUACCCUGAGAAUAAGGAUCGGCUAACUCCGUGCCAGCAGCCGCCGCAG
RNAcentral lists this ribosomal RNA (503 nucleotides) under uncultured bacterium. Its description in RNAcentral is "partial 16S ribosomal RNA". It matches the Rfam family "Bacterial small subunit ribosomal RNA", at positions 28 to 523 of the family's 1533-position model. The record is from RNAcentral.